Molecule: ribosomal RNA, 253 nt
Filed under: uncultured bacterium
Lineage: Bacteria
Description: partial 16S ribosomal RNA
Rfam family: Bacterial small subunit ribosomal RNA
Source: RNAcentral
UACGGGGGGGGCAAGCGUUGUUCGGAAUUACUGGGCGUAAAGGGUCCGUAGGUGGCUUGCUAAGUCAGACGUGAAAUCCCUCGGCUUAACCGGGGAACUGCGUCUGAGACUGGCGAGCUUGAGUGCAGGAGAGGAACGCGGAAUUCCGGGUGUAGUGGUGAAAUGCGUAGAGAUUCGGAGGAACCCCAGAGGCGAAGGCGGCGCUCUGGCUCGCAACUGACGCUCAGACACGACAGCAUGGGGAGCGAACGGG